GGGAGCAGCCCAGAGUCUGAAUCAGCUUGUGUGUUAGUGGAACGGUCUGGAAAGUCCGACGGUACAGGGUGAUAGUCCCGUACACCAAAAUGCACAGGYUGUGAACUCGAAGAGUAGGGCGGGACACGUGGUAUCCUGUCUGAAUAUGGGGGGACCAUCCUCCAAGGCUAAAUACUCCUGACUGACCGAUAGUGAACCAGUACCGUGAGGGAAAGGCGAAAAGAACCCCGGCGAGGGGAGUGAAAAAGAACCUGAAACCGUGUACGUACAAGCAGUGGGAGCACCUUCGGGUGUGACUGCGUACCUUUUGUAUAAUGGGUCAGCGACUUAUAUUCUGUAGCAAGGUUAACCGUAUAGGGGAGCCGCAGGGAAACCGAGUCUUAACUGGGCGUUAAGUUGCAGGGUAUAGACCCGAAACCCGGUGAUCUAGCCAUGGGCAGGUUGAAGGUUGGGUAACACUAACUGGAGGACCGAACCGACUAAUGUUGAAAAAUUAGCGGAUGACUUGUGGCUGGGGGUGAAAGGCCAAUCAAACCGGGAGAUAGCUGGUUCUCCCCGAAAGCUAUUUAGGUAGCGCCUCGUGAACUCAUCUUCGGGGGUAGAGCACUGUUUCGGCUAGGGGGUCAUCCCGACUUACCAACCCGAUGCAAACUACGAAUACCGAAGAAUGUUAUCACGGGAGACACACGGCGGGUGCUAACGUCCGUCGUGAAGAGGGAAACAACCCAGACCGCCAGCUAAGGUCCCAAAGUCAUGGUUAAGUGGGAAACGAUGUGGGAAGGCACAGACAGCCAGGAUGUUGGCUUAGAAGCAGCCAUCAUUUAAAGAAAGCGUAAUAGCUCACUGGUCGAGUCGGCCUGCGCGGAAGAUGUAACGGGGCUAAACCAUGCACCGAAGCUGCGGCAGCGACACGAUGUGUUGUUGGGUAGGGGAGCGUUCUGUAAGCCUGCGAAGGUGGCCUGUGAGGGYUGCUGGAGGUAUCAGAAGUGCGAAUGCUGACAUAAGUAACGAUAAAGCGGGUGAAAAGCCCGCUCGCCGGAAGACCAAGGGUUCCUGUCCAACGUUAAUCGGGGCAGGGUGAGUCGACCCCUAAGGCGAGGCCGAAAGGCGUAGUCGAUGGGAAACAGGUUAAUAUUCCUGUACUUGGUGUUACUGCGAAGGGGGGACGGAGAAGGCUAUGUUAGCCGGGCGACGGUUGUCCCGGUUUAAGCAUGUAGGCUGGUUAUCCAGGCAAAUCCGGAUAAUCAAGGCUGAGGUGUGAUGACGAGGCACUACGGUGCUGAAGUAACAAAUGCCCUGCUUCCAGGAAAAGCCUCUAAGCAUCAGGUAACAUCAAAUCGUACCCCAAACCGACACAGGUGGUCAGGUAGAGAAUACCAAGGCGCUUGAGAGAACUCGGGUGAAGGAACUAGGCAAAAUGGUGCCGUAACUUCGGGAGAAGGCACGCUGGUGUGUAGGUGAAGYCCCUGCGGRUGGAGCUGAGACCAGUCGAAGAUACCAGCUGGCUGCAACUGUUUAUUAAAAACACAGCACUGUGCAAACACGAAAGUGGACGUAUACGGUGUGACGCCUGCCCGGUGCCGGAAGGUUAAUUGAUGGGGUUAUCCGUAAGGAGAAGCUCUUGAUCGAAGCCCCGGUAAACGGCGGCCGUAACUAUAACGGUCCUAAGGUAGCGAAAUUCCUUGUCGGGUAAGUUCCGACCUGCACGAAUGGCGUAAUGAUGGCCAGGCUGUCUCCACCCGAGACUCAGUGAAAUUGAACUCGCUGUGAAGAUGCAGUGUACCCGCGGCAAGACGGAAAGACCCCGUGAACCUUUACUAUAGCUUGACACUGAACAUUGAGCCUUGAUGUGUAGGAUAGGUGGGAGGCUUUGAAGCGUGGACGCCAGUCUGCGUGGAGCCAACCUUGAAAUACCACCCUUUAAUGUUUGAUGUUCUAACGURGGCCCCURAYCGGGGUUGCGGACAGUGUCUGGUGGGUAGUUUGACUGGGGCGGUCUCCUCCCAAAGCGUAACGGAGGAGCACGAAGGUUAGCUAAUCCUGGUCGGACAUCAGGAGGUUAGUGCAAUGGCAUAAGCUAGCUUGACUGCGAGCGUGACGGCGCGAGCAGGUGCGAAAGCAGGUCAUAGUGAUCCGGUGGUUCUGAAUGGAAGGGCCAUCGCUCAACGGAUAAAAGGUACUCCGGGGAUAACAGGCUGAUACCGCCCAAGAGUUCAUAUCGACGGCGGUGUUUGGCACCUCGAUGUCGGCUCAUCACAUCCUGGGGCUGAAGUAGGUCCCAAGGGUAUGGCUGUUCGCCAUUUAAAGUGGUACGCGAGCUGGGUUUAGAACGUCGUGAGACAGUUCGGUCCCUAUCUGCCGUGGGCGCUGGAGAAUUGAGGGGGGCUGCUCCUAGUACGAGAGGACCGGAGUGGACGCAUCACUGGUGUUCGGGUUGUCAUGCCAAUGGCACUGCCCGGUAGCUAAAUGCGGAAGAGAUAAGUGCUGAAAGCAUCUAAGCACGAAACUUGCCCCGAGAUGAGUUCUCCCUGAGACUUUAAGUCUCCUGAAGGAACGUUGAAGACGACGACGUUGAUAGGCCGGGUGUGUAAGCGCAGCGAUGCGUUGAGCUAACCGGUACUAAUGAACCGUGAGGCUUAACCUUACAACGCCGAAG
This 2656-nucleotide ribosomal RNA is filed under the name Klebsiella quasipneumoniae subsp. quasipneumoniae. Its description in RNAcentral is "bacterial LSU rRNA". It matches the Rfam family "Bacterial large subunit ribosomal RNA". The record is from RNAcentral. Lineage: Bacteria; Pseudomonadati; Pseudomonadota; Gammaproteobacteria; Enterobacterales; Enterobacteriaceae.